Molecule: non-coding RNA, 129 nt
Organism: Paramuricea clavata
Lineage: Eukaryota; Metazoa; Cnidaria; Anthozoa; Malacalcyonacea; Plexauridae
Source: the annotation of a GenBank genome assembly
AAACAUUUUUUCUGUGUUCCUAUAUAUAGUUUAUAUAGAAACACUUGUGGAAGUUUGGGAGAAAUCGUUUCUCCCAAACUUCCACGCGUGUUUCUAUAACUCUGUAUAGAAACACGGAAAUGUUUUCUA